Molecule: ribosomal RNA, 266 nt
Filed under: uncultured bacterium
Lineage: Bacteria
Description: partial 16S ribosomal RNA
Rfam family: Bacterial small subunit ribosomal RNA
Source: RNAcentral
UAUCUUAGUGGCGGACGGGUGAGUAACGCGUGGGUAACCUGCCUUACACAGGGGGAUAACACCUGGAAACAGGUGCUAAUACCGCAUAAGCGCACAGGGCCGCAUGGCCCGGUGUGAAAAACUCCGGUGGUGUAAGAUGGACCCGCGUCUGAUUAGCUUGUUGGCGGGGUAGGGGCCCACCAAGGCGACGAUCAGUAGCCGGCCUGAGAGGGUGGACGGCCACAUUGGGACUGAGACACGGCCCAAACUCCUACGGGAGGCAGCAG